AAUCCUGAGGAUGCUUCUAAGGUAAUCCCUUCUUGGUAACCAUAUAUUGUUCUUGUAGACAAUUUUUAAAGUUUGGAAUGUGUUGGUGAAGAUCCAAAAAUGGUUAAAAAGAAAAUUUAGGAAGCCUUGAAUGCGGUUGGUCUUCAAAGUUCAUUUGAAGAUGGAGAAAGCUCUGGAAAAUUAUAUUAAAAUUAUUUCUUUUUACCAUAGUGUUGGAAUUGUUUGAUCAUGUUGUUUACAUUAUACCUUUUCUAAUGGGUUGUGACAUUGAGUGCGUCACUUUCUUUAAACUUGUUUAGAAAAUGAUGUUGAAUGUUUAAAUAGGAUUCUUAGGUAUUUCUUUUUCUCUCUGAUAAUAUUUGUGCCUAAUACCUACUCCAGCAGCGUGCUGUUUAUACCUGCUUAAGUUAAAGCUUAAACGUCAGAGUCAUGGGCAGUUCUUGUACGGUAGAGUUGAUGGUUCUUUUUUUUUCCAUAUAUAGUUGACAUAAGUGACAUAAUGUGUUCUAGAUUUUUUAAAUUUAUUUACUUGAUUGCACCCUUUUUCCAACUUUUCUAUUUUAAUUCUAAUUUAAUUACAGAGAAGCUACUAAAGAUGAUUCCCUAGUUAUGUUCACCUUACUUGUAGGCGUCACUUAUAGGUUCUCAUUUCUUACUUAAUUAUUUGAAAAUGAGUUGUAUCUUCUGUCUAAACAUGCAGUGAGAUCAUGAAACAAGUGAGGUCAGUAAUUGAAAUUACAUGGUAUGGCAUCAAUUCUUACAGUCACAGGUCAGUGUGUCACAGAGAUUGCAAUUUACCAGGGGAAAUUUGAUAUUGGUACUCCCUGUAUGGAGAAGUAAUUGCUGGGCUGGCAGGUUUUUGGCACGUCCUGUCAGUGGCCUGAAGAAAGAGGGACAGUAAUAAAACACUAUCUUAAGGCAGAGUAUAUGUUGAGUGCUGAAGGCAAACCAAUUAUUACUUUUAUAUUAAUUUUGAAAUUUCUAAGUUCUUUUACAUUUUAUAUUGUAUUCUAUCAGUGAAUUGAAAUGUUUCUGAUUGUGGGGGAAUAAAGUUCUGAGUUUAGGUUGCCAUCUUCAUUUUUUUUCUUAUUUAAUUGAAUUUAAUGAAGGUACCUAAGGGAAAUCCAUAU
RNAcentral lists this unclassified non-coding RNA (1130 nucleotides) under Hevea brasiliensis (rubber tree). The record is from RNAcentral. Lineage: Eukaryota; Viridiplantae; Streptophyta; Magnoliopsida; Malpighiales; Euphorbiaceae.